AACAGGAGACACAGCUGGAGAAGGAAAAUGUUGUUGCCAAAUGGACAAGAAAGAAGGGAGAAGCUCACCACAUGAGAGGCUGUUGUACUUCAAGACUGGAAAGUGGCUUUACAAAAAACCAGAGAUUUAAAACUGAAUGAGGAGAAAAUGUCUCUCCUUAAUGCCCUCCCUCCACCUCUGGAUCUCCUGGUUCCAUCCCCUACAGAGGCCCCACAACUCUCUUCCAUUUAUAGAUUGAGCUGCGCAUCAACCAGGACCAUACUCAGGGCUCAAGUUGCAAUACCAAUUGGACAACUGGGUGGAGAGGCAGACAUGUUCUCCUCUCUGGCUCCACCUGGAAUUAGGAAAUGUUUUCAACUGUUUCUAAAUGCCUCUGAGUCCAUAGCUCGUGUGAACAUGAGUUACCAGGAGAAGGUGCUGGCCAUGAUGCUGACGAUCAGGAUCUGGAGUGAACCCUCUUGGGCCAUCUUUAUUCCUCUCAAAGCAAUGUCUUUCUGUUGUCUUUCUCCGUGCCUGACCUGACAGCUCUGCCCAGCAGAUGAAUCAUUCGGACGCACUGACAAAGCGCUAGCUUUCCUUUGGGAUGUAUUGACUCAGCAGACCUGACCUUUCAGCAACCUAAAAGUGUCAGUCAUCAGACAGCAGAAGUUCCCCCACUUUGCUGUCACCCACCUCUAACACAUCUCCACCAGUGUACUAGAAAAGUGUCUUAUUCCCAGCCUUUUCUGCUUCUUUCUAUGAAAACUUCAUGAAACUGCUUUUAGUAUAACCUAAGUCUGUGUCACCAGGCCACAAUCACUCAUAUCUGGCUUCAGGAUAACCCCCCUCCUCUCCCCUUGGAGAUGGGAGUAUGCUUCUGUACCUGUAGGUAUCGAGCUGACCAGAUGUUCAAUGACACUACACAGACUCAGGAUUCUCAGGUGAUCAUCUCUGGAUUUUGAAGUGGCAGGGAAUGUGUUACCAGAGAAAACAAGAUGCCAGAAAAAUAAGGAAAGCUAAAGAGUGAAGACUCUUGAACCCUUUGCUUUAAGCAAUUGCCAGUCUAACUGAUAUCCUUGUUUUCCUAGAUAGAGGCCACUGGGUAUUUAUAGGAGAGGGUAGUUUUACUCUCACUGCAACUGAGGGCACCUGCAGUGGUGGAUCCUGUUAUACCCUCCUCUGGUUGAACCAACAUCCAGAUUCAUGAACUGUGGAAAUCACACAAAAAGCAAAUACCCUUUAUCAGCAAUGCUCCUCUUAGCCUAACAGCCGUUCCUUCCCGUACUUUGCAAAUCACUGUGUGGUGAGCUGGCAGUGAUUUCAUCAGUGCUAUGUGAGUUACCUUUCCUAGGUGGUAAUCUUUAUGUCCCAAAGGUCUUUAUGGCUUCCAUAAACCACUCCAAUUCCCAGAGUCUUAGUAGUAGCUACCAGGGCAGGAUAGAUAAGCCUGGACUUGAAAGGAAGUGGCUAGAUUUCUGUAGUACUAAAGUUAUUAUGAAGUUACUGAGGAAUCCUCCAAACUUGAAAUAAAAACAAAUUUAAAAGAAGAUACUAUGUAAAUAAUUCCUGCCUCUGACAAUCAAUGUGAUGCUCAGUCUGAGCUUCCUCCAAUUCAGUUUGACCUAGACCUGCUGAGGACACUGGUACCAAUAUGCCUAGAGUGCUCUCCAGGCAGGAUGCUGCACUGGAUCCUCCAUAGAAUCAGGCCAGAAUCUUGAGGGCUUGAAUUAGAAUUCAGCAAGACUCAAACAACUUGGAAAAGCGGUUCAAUAAAGUGAAUUUCCAGGAACACAUGCACACCAGCAUGAAGUCAAGAAUGACUAACUGUGUGUUAAUAAGGUAGUAGAAGGCUAUAACACUAUAAUGACCUUCCAUGGAAAGCAUGCCAGCUGCCCAGCACAGUUAAGGUGAGAUGUGGUGUGUGGGGAAGGAAUGAGAUCAUGGCUCUAGGGCCAUGUGUUUGGACUGUGAGCUCCACAGUCAACCUGGGUGUUAGCAGUGUUACAAGGAACUGGCCAGACAAAGACGUCCUCUUUCCUCAGCUGUAAAUUGCCCACAAAAAACAGCCUCUGCCUGGUGGAGACUGCAAGGCCAGGACAGUUAAAGGAGAUGAGUGAUCUACAAGCUAGUGUGCGGACCAAUAUGCUUUGGGUGCUAACAGCAAAUACCUCAAGGGAGCCCAGCAGGCUGAAUGCUUGUGCCUGAGUUUACACAGUCCAGGGGCCUACAGCUUUUGCUAAUUUUGUACCCACAAAAGUGGCUGCCCUUUAGAACUAUUAAAAAUAAUUUGUUAUCCUUAUAAGGAA
Molecule: long non-coding RNA, 2285 nt
Organism: Mus musculus (house mouse)
Lineage: Eukaryota; Metazoa; Chordata; Mammalia; Rodentia; Muridae
Product: predicted gene, 46422
Exons: 3
Source: RefSeq, a predicted model, not a curated record